RNAcentral lists this small nuclear RNA (299 nucleotides) under Callithrix jacchus (white-tufted-ear marmoset). RNAcentral's name for it is "7SK RNA". It matches the Rfam family "7SK RNA", at positions 1 to 253 of the family's 331-position model. Rfam says of the family: 7SK was discovered as an abundant small nuclear RNA in the mid-70s but a possible function has only recently been suggested. Two independent studies have found that 7SK RNA binds the CDK9/cyclin T complex (known as elongation factor P-TEFb). P-TEFb activates transcription by phosphorylating the C-terminal domain of RNA polymerase II. Lineage: Eukaryota; Metazoa; Chordata; Mammalia; Primates; Cebidae. The record is from Rfam by way of RNAcentral.
GGAUAUGAGGGCAAUCUGGCUGCGACAUCUGUCACCCCAUUGAUCUCCAGGGUUGAUUCAGCUGAUCUGGCUGGCUAGGCAGGUGUCCCCUUUCUCCUUCACUGCUCCAUCUGCGUCCCUCCUGAAGCUGCGUGCUCCAUCUAAGAGGACGACCAUACUGAUAGGGGAGGACCAGUCUUCGGUCAAAGGUAUACAAGUAGCUGUGCCCCCCUGCCAGAACCUCCAAACAAGCUCUCAAAUCACUGGUGCUCUGUAUUCAAAUGCCAACUGUCCUGGUCCUGGGCCAGCUGUCUUCUAGG